CAGGCAACGUUUAGCCAGAGCUUCUCUUCGAGCCCGGAGCUCAGCCACAGCACGUUGCAGCCGGCUGCGGCCAUAUUGCUCUAUCCGCGCCCACAGACUACGGUUGAACCCCGAGCCUCUGCUCACCUGCAGCCUGGGCAUUGUGCAUGAAGCCCACCACGUCAUCCAAACCCCAGCACAGGGCAUCUGCCAACAGAACCAAUGACUCGUCAAAGUACUCAGCCACCAUGACCAAGUCAAAGACAGAAUCCAGCCAGGCCAGACCCCACUGGAUAAAAGAUGAGGGCCGGAAAUCUGAAGAGGCAAAGCCAGCUGGAUGUUGGUGACUAUUAGCAGCUGUGGUCACAGGCUGGAAGAGAGUUCCAGGGCCAGCGGCAGAAGGUAUAAUACGCAGCUGGAGGGGGCUGGGGUCCCUGGGUAGAUGAGGACUCACUCUCGUCUCUGGGGGGAAGGGCAACCCAAAGUCGAACCAUAGUAAGUUGCGGGCAUAGUGGUUGCCACGGCCCCCGGGUCUGUAGAAGGCUCGAGGAUUGGACAGGAAGGCAGCCAAAGAAGGUGCCUUUCGGAAGGCUGAUGAGGUUGACUUAUAGUAGGAGAAGGCAGAGCGUGCUAAAGCCGCUGGAUCUCGGACAAUGGAAAAGAAGAAGCUGUCAGAAGGCAUGACCUGAAGUACCUGCAGAGAAAAGAAAGAGCAGACACAGAGAAAGCUUGACUGAGUAGAAAAUAAGUACAAGCUAAGGCUCUAGUGAGCCCUGGGAACUCUGCUCCCCCCCACCCCCAGCUUCCCUAACUAGCUGGGUGUGCUUGGGGGAAGUUAUGUAACACCUCUAAGACUCAAUUUGCUUCUCUGCAAAAAGGAUGUAGUCAGGGGUUCCCAGGUGAUGAGACGAAUGCACAAGAUAACAGCUAGUCAGAAAUCCGGAACCCACAAAGCUCUAAAUCAUUCAUUUCCUUGGGCCUUUGUAUCUUCUUUAGUUGAUAAAAACUCUCAAACCUAGGGCUGGGGAAAUGGCUCAGUCAAUAAAGUGUUUGCUACACAAGCAUGAGGACACAAGUCCAUACUCCCAGUACCCACAUAAAAGCCUGGCACAGCGGUGCUCACCCAUAAGCCCUGUGCCAAGGAGACAGAGACAGGGCCAUAAGCCCUGGGAGUUGGCUAGCACACACCUAAGAACCAGACUUGGUGUUUACUUCUACAAUAAAAAUCCAUUUGUAUUCAGUU
Myodes glareolus (Bank vole) is the source of this 1222-nucleotide long non-coding RNA. RefSeq lists it as uncharacterized. The record is from RefSeq and is a predicted model, not a curated record. Lineage: Eukaryota; Metazoa; Chordata; Mammalia; Rodentia; Cricetidae.